Molecule: long non-coding RNA, 1644 nt
Organism: Nicotiana tabacum (common tobacco)
Lineage: Eukaryota; Viridiplantae; Streptophyta; Magnoliopsida; Solanales; Solanaceae
Source: RefSeq, a predicted model, not a curated record
AAAUACCUAGACUUAGACCUAUAAGAGAUCAAAUCCUAGACCUAACCAUCAGAUCACACACAAGAGAAUGAGAAUUUCUCCUCUUUAGAAAAUAAUGAAAAACGGCGCCUCUCUCAUCUUGAAGGAGACGAAGCAGCACCUCUAUCUCCUCUCUUCUUCAGCAAUCUUCAGCAACAGACGAACAGAUUCGUCACCCUCCAUCCCCAAUUUCCCAUAGAAGUGAGACCAUUUCCCUUCUACGACCAAAAUCGAGCAGCCCCAUUCCAAAAGAAAGGAGCAAUAGAGUUUGAAUGAGAUAGUUCUAUGGUUUCUCAGGUUAUUGGGCUAUCAAGGCUACUGUGUUAGGUUCAAGGAAUUUUCUGUGCAAUUUCUUGAUUUUUAAGCUGAAAACUGAGUUCAAAAUUGGCUGCUUUUGCUGGAAUUUGCUGAGCUCCUACCCGCUGGUUUCGUUGCUUUUAUUUGGCUCCCCUUUGCUUUCCAGAUUUAAUCUUUGUACCAUUAGCCUUUGCUUUGGCUUUCGAGUUUCUUUGCGUUUCAGAAGUUAUUGAAGUUAAAGUAUUAUUAAUGUUUGAAAGAAAUCAAAUUUUAAGAACCUGCUAAGGAGAUUUUAAUGGCCUCAAGUUUCUCUCCAGCACUUAAAUAAGCAUACUUGCUAAUAAAUUGACGGAUAGAGAUUAUGUUGCGAGGUGCUUCUUAAUACGGAUUUAUUCCGGAUUCUUUCGACGAUUCAAGGCUCUUUAACCUGUUCGCCCGAUAUUGCUGCCACAAAAAAAACAGUUUUAACCAUUUAUCACAUUGUGAAAGCUCAUGCUCACCACAGAAUUUUUCGGGUUGUAAAAUCAACAAGGAAUGAAACUGCCACAGACAACAACAAAAAUGGCAGAGGGACUUACUGUAGGAUCCAAACUAUCACUCUACAUAUUGUGAUGCUGCUAUUGUCUUUUGGCCACAACUACAGCCUGUAAAAUCCAAUUGCGACAAAAGUCAUCAACUUGAAAAAAUGUACACUUUCACUUGUACGCAUGCAAAUAAGUUGUCUCAGGUGCUAUUGGAUCAUGUUCAGUAUUGUUUGCAAAGUCUCUUUCAAACAUGUUAAGAUUGUCCAUGUCAAGUGGUUAUUCAUUGCACAGCUGGUUCACGUAUUCCAUGCUCGUGUUGUUUCUUAGUACAGCUGGAUUUUGGAUGGCAAGGUAUUUGAUGCUUUAAGUACAACAAUGUUCGUUCUUGAAAUAAUUUCUGUGUUUGUGGGCAUUUCUUUGCUAGCACCAGAUGAAUCAAAAGGAGGUGAAGUGAAGGAUGGUUCUUUAUUUUCAACAACUUCCAAUUUGUCACAGGAUGAGGAGAGGUGUGGAUCUGCUUACCAAGCUUGAGCAUGACAGACGCCCAAGGACCCUCUUAGUCAGGACCGUUGCAUCCAGGAGUUGUUUAAGGAUUUUUUAUUUAUUUAUUUUUUGAAUCAUUUUUUUUUGUCUUGUACUUUAUAGUCAUGUUCAGUAGUACCGAUUCUUUUAGUUGGUGUCAGAGUUUGUCGUAGUAUAGUUGAGUUUGUCAAGUCUCUCGUUAUCGUAUUUCCUGUUUUAUAUUUGAAAACCGAAAAGAAAAAGAGAUAUAAAUGAAAAAUCCAAAAAAAAAUUUAUUUUUUUA